CUGGGUGUGGCGCAGUUUGGUAGCGUGCUUGAAUGGGGUUCAAGAGGCCGGAAGUUCGAAUCUUCUCACCCAGACCA
Molecule: transfer RNA, 77 nt
Filed under: Clostridium sp.
Lineage: Bacteria; Bacillati; Bacillota; Clostridia; Eubacteriales; Clostridiaceae
Also listed under: 18 other names
Description: tRNA-Pro
Rfam family: tRNA
About the family: Transfer RNA (tRNA) molecules are approximately 80 nucleotides in length. Their secondary structure includes four short double-helical elements and three loops (D, anti-codon, and T loops).
Source: RNAcentral